RNAcentral lists this ribosomal RNA (1288 nucleotides) under Leclercia sp. SYC11. RNAcentral describes it as "bacterial SSU rRNA". It matches the Rfam family "Bacterial small subunit ribosomal RNA", at positions 238 to 1508 of the family's 1533-position model. The record is from RNAcentral. Lineage: Bacteria; Pseudomonadati; Pseudomonadota; Gammaproteobacteria; Enterobacterales; Enterobacteriaceae.
GCAUCACCACUAAAGUGCGAGAGACAGAUGCUAUACUGUGAUUCAGAGAGAGAUGUCAGUCCAAUUGGACUGAAACCGGUUCAAGACCUCUAACGGAGGCAGACAUUGGGGAAAUUUUGGCCCAAUGGCGGCAAAGCUGAUCGCAGCCAUGGCGCGGUUAUUAAAGAGGUCCCUCCGAGUGUUAACUACCUUACAGUCGGAGAGGAAGGGCGAAUUUCGUUAAUAACCAGCAUUUCAUUGACCGGUACGUACCAGAAUGAAGGCCCCCGGCUAACUCUCGUCCAGCCAGCCGCGGUAAAUACGGAAGGGGUGCAAAGCGUAAUUCGGAAUUAUUGGGGCGUAAAGCGCAGUCAGUCGGUCUGUCAAGUCGGAUGUAAAUCCCCGGGCUCACCCUGAAACGGCAUUCGAAACUGCCAGGUUAGAGUCUUGUAGAGGGGGUAGAUUUCCAGGUGUAGCGGUGAAAUGCGUAGAGAUCUGGAGGACUACCGGUGGCGAAGGCGGCCCCCUGGACAAAGACUGCCGCUCAGGUGGGAAAGCGUGGGGAGCAACCAGGAUUAGAUACCUUGGUAGUCCACGCGGUAAACGAGGUAGAUAUGGAGGUUGUUCCCUUGAGGAGUGGCUUCCGGAGUUAACGCGUUAAGUCGCCCCCUUGGGGAGUACGCCCCCAAGGUUAAAAUUCAAAUGAAUUGACGGGGGCCCGCCCAAGCGGUGGACCAUGGGGUUUAAUUGGAUGCACCGCGAAGACCCUUACCUACUCUUGACAUCCAGAGAACUUAGCAGAGAUGCUUUGGUCCUUUCGGGACCUUUGAGCCAGGUGCUCCAUGGCUGUCUUCAAUUCGUGUUGUGAAAUGUUGGGUUAAUUCCCGCAAGGAGCCCAACCUUUUUCCUUUGUUCCCACCGGUUCGGCCGGGAACUCAAAGGAGACUGCCAGUGAUAAACCGGAGGAAGGUGGGGAUGACGUCAAGUCAUCAUGGCCCUUACGAGUAGGGCUACACACGUGCUACAAUGGCAUAUACAAAGAGAAGCCACCUCGCGAGAGCAAGCGGACCUCAUAAAGUAUGUCGUAGUCCGGAUCGGAGUCUGCAACUCGACUCCGUGAAGUCGGAAUCGCUAGUAAUCGUGGAUCAGAAUGCCACGGUGAAUACGUUCCCGGGCCUUGUACACACCGCCCGUCACACCAUGGGAGUGGGUUGCAACAUUAUUUUGGUAGCUUAACCUUCGGGAGGGCGCUUACCACUUUUGUGAUUCAUGACUGGGGUGAAGGUCGAAACACAGGUACCCACAGGCG